Molecule: ribosomal RNA, 961 nt
Filed under: uncultured eukaryote
Lineage: Eukaryota
Description: SSU rRNA
Rfam family: Eukaryotic small subunit ribosomal RNA
Source: RNAcentral
GAUAGUACCUUACUACUUGGAUACCCGUAGUAAUUCUAGAGCUAAUACAUGCAUCAACGCCCAAUCGGGCCGCGUUUAUUAGAUAGAAACCCAUAUUUUUGGUGAAUCAUAAUAACUGUGCGAAUCGCAUGGGUUUACCCCGGCGAUGAAUCAAUCAAGUUUCUGCCCUAUCAGCUUUCGAUGGUAGGGUAUUGGCCUACCAUGGCGUUAACGGGUAACGGAGAAUUAGGGUUCGAUUCCGGAGAGGGAGCCUGAGAAACGGCUACCACAUCCAAGGAAGGCAGCAGGCGCGUAAAUUACCCAAUCCUGACACAGGGAGGUAGUGACAAUAAAUAACAAUGCCGGGCUUUUUCAAGUCUGGCAAUUGGAAUGAGAACAAUUUAAAUCCCUUAACGAGGAUCAAUUGGAGGGCAAGUCUGGUGCCAGCAGCCGCGGUAAUUCCAGCUCCAAUAGCGUAUAUUAAUGUUGUUGCAGUUAAAAAGCUCGUAGUUGGAUUUCUGGUGGGAGUGGCCGGUCCGCCGUAAGGUGUGUACUUGGUUGUCUCCUGUCAUCCUUGUGGGAACUGCUCUGGCAUUAAGUUGUCGGGGUUGGGGAACACAUCGUUUACUGUGAAAAAAUUAGAGUGUUUAAAGCAGGCUUAUGCCGUUGAAUACAUUAGCAUGGAAUAAUAAGAUAGGACUUUGGCGUCUAUUUUGUUGGUUUGCACACCAAAGUAAUGAUUAAUAGGGAUAGUUGGGGGUAUUCGUAUUUAAUUGUCAGAGGUGAAAUUCUUGGAUUUAUGAAAGACGAACUUCUGCGAAAGCAUUUACCAAAGAUGUUUUCAUUAAUCAAGAACGAAAGUUAGGGGAUCGAAGAUGAUUAGAUACCAUCGUAGUCUUAACCAUAAACUAUGCCGACUAGGGAUUGGCGGUCGUUCAUUUAUGACUCCGUCAGCACCUUAUGAGAAUCAAAGUCUUGGGUU